AGAGUUUGAUCAUGGCUCAGGAUGAACGCUAGCGGCAGGCCUAACACAUGCAAGUCGAGGGGUAGGGGCUUUCGGGCCCUGAGACCGGCGCACGGGUGCGUAACGCGUAUGCAAUCUGCCUUACACUGGGGGAUAGCCCAGAGAAAUUUGGAUUAAUACCCCAUAGUAUUUUUUGUUGGCAUCAACAGAUUAUUAAAGUUUUUCGGUGUAAGAUGAGCAUGCGUCCCAUUAGCUAGUUGGUAUGGUAACGGCAUACCAAGGCAAUGAUGGGUAGGGGUCCUGAGAGGGAGAUCCCCCACACUGGUACUGAGACACGGACCAGACUCCUACGGGAGGCAGCAGUGAGGAAUAUUGGUCAAUGGGCGAGAGCCUGAACCAGCCAUGCCGCGUGCAGGAUGAAGCAUCUAUGGUGUGUAAACUGCUUUUGUACGGGAAGGAACCCCUCUACGUGUAGAGGCUUGACGGUACCGUAAGAAUAAGGAUCGGCUAACUCCGUGCCAGCAGCCGCGGUAAUACGGAGGAUCCAAGCGUUAUCCGGAAUCAUUGGGUUUAAAGGGUCCGUAGGCGGCUUUAUAAGUCAGUGGUGAAAUCUGGCGGCUCAACCGUCAAAUUGCCAUUGAUACUGUAGGGCUUGAAUGUUUGUGAAGUAACUAGAAUAUGUAGUGUAGCGGUGAAAUGCUUAGAUAUUACAUGGAAUACCCAUUGCGAAGGCAGGUUACUAACAAAUGAUUGACGCUGAUGGACGAAAGCGUGGGGAGCGAACAGGAUUAGAUACCCUGGUAGUCCACGCCGUAAACGAUGGAUACUAGCUGUUUGGCAGCAAUGCUGAGUGCUAAGCGAAAGUGAUAAGUAUCCCGCCUGGGGAGUACGGGCGCAAGCCUGAAACUCAAAUGAAUUGACGG
Molecule: ribosomal RNA, 902 nt
Filed under: uncultured bacterium
Lineage: Bacteria
Description: bacterial SSU rRNA
Rfam family: Bacterial small subunit ribosomal RNA
Source: RNAcentral